GACGAACGCUGGCGGCGUGGAUUAGGCAUGCAAGUCGAACGGUAUCAUCCUUUCGGGGGUGAGAGAGUGGCGAACUGGUGAGUAACACGUAGGUUAUCUACCCUCAAGACGGGGACAACCCAGGGAAACUUGGGCUAAUACCGGAUGUGAGCAACUUUUAGUUGUUUGAAAGGUGGCGUAAGCUGUCGCUUGGGGAUGAGCCUGCGUCCUAUUAGUUAGUUGGUGAGGUAACGGCUCACCUAGGCAAUGAUAGGUAGGCGGCCUUAACGGGUGGUCGCCCACACUGGGAUUGAGAUACGGCCCAGACUCCUACGGGAGGCAGCAGUCGAGAAUAGUCUACAAUGGUCGGAAGACUGAUAGUGCGACGCCGCGUGAACGAUGAAUCCCUUCGGGGUGUAAAGUUCUUUUAUAUGUGAGCAGUGCUUCUUAUAUUAACAGUAUGGGGAGAGAGAUAUUAGCAUAUGGAAUAAGCAACGGCUAACUCCGUGCCAGCAGCCGCGGUAAAA
This 506-nucleotide ribosomal RNA is filed under the name uncultured bacterium. RNAcentral's name for it is "bacterial SSU rRNA". It matches the Rfam family "Bacterial small subunit ribosomal RNA", at positions 28 to 525 of the family's 1533-position model. The record is from RNAcentral.